Molecule: ribosomal RNA, 497 nt
Filed under: uncultured bacterium
Lineage: Bacteria
Description: partial 16S ribosomal RNA
Rfam family: Bacterial small subunit ribosomal RNA
Source: RNAcentral
GAUGAACGCUGGCGGCGUGCCUAAUACAUGCAAGUCGAGCGAACGGACGAGAAGCUUGCUUCUCUGAUGUUAGCGGCGGACGGGUGAGUAACACGUGGAUAACCUACCUAUAAGACUGGGAUAACUUCGGGAAACCGGAGCUAAUACCGGAUAAUAUUUUGAACCGCAUGGUUCAAAAGUGAAAGACGGUCUUGCUGUCACUUAUAGAUGGAUCCGCGCUGCAUUAGCUAGUUGGUAAGGUAACGGCUUACCAAGGCAACGAUGCAUAGCCGACCUGAGAGGGUGAUCGGCCACACUGGAACUGAGACACGGUCCAGACUCCUACGGGAGGCAGCAGUAGGGAAUCUUCCGCAAUGGGCGAAAGCCUGACGGAGCAACGCCGCGUGAGUGAUGAAGGUCUUCGGAUCGUAAAACUCUGUUAUUAGGGAAGAACAUAUGUGUAUGUAACUGUGCACAUCUUGACGGUACCUAAUCAGAAGGCCACGGCUAACUACGUG